Xenia sp. Carnegie-2017 is the source of this 1709-nucleotide long non-coding RNA. RefSeq lists it as uncharacterized. The transcript is spliced from 10 exons. Lineage: Eukaryota; Metazoa; Cnidaria; Anthozoa; Malacalcyonacea; Xeniidae. The record is from RefSeq and is a predicted model, not a curated record.
AUGUGGUGACUUCUUUUUCAAUAAUUUUUAAUUCUUUUUCAGUUAUGUCUUUUGGACUGACAAGUGACCAAAGAUUUACUGUUGAUACAUUCACAGGACAAAAUCCAGCACAGUAUCCCCAAGACACUGUCUUUCUGUAAAUGUAUUUAUUUGUUGUCUUGGAGUCAGAAACAUGAAUUGUAUGUCGACUGUUUGCAAGUAUCAGUUUUUGUCUGAUGAGCUCCUAACGCAGAAAUCAUCGUUGCUAUUGUUGAUGCAAUCAACAUCAUUAUCGCGAAAUUCGCGCGAUGCGAAUGAACUUUUCAUACAGUGCUUGAUAAAGUGGGGAGGGUCAUCAUGUGUCUAUAUGUGAGAAAGGAAAAAAGGACGAAGAGAAGGCUGAAAGUUUGUAGGAGACGUGGGUGACAAGAAGGCAACUAAACGAAACCUGCUGAGUGCACUAGCAAAGAUAUUUGAUCCGUUAGGAUUAAUUAGCUGCGUAUUAGUUUUGAUGGAAAUCUUGUUUUAACAGUUGUGCGUAGAAAAGAUUGAUUGGGAUGACGAAAUAAGCGGAAAGUGAUCCCACAGUUUUUGGCAACCUACUACCAAGUGAAGAAUGUGUUUGAGCGCUCUGUGCGCAAUAAAGUCAUGAAAGGACAACUGCUACAAGCCAGCUCAUGGUGGCUGAACACAAUUUAAAGGAGUUUCUUAUUCGGGAUUUGCAUUGGACAGUAGCUGAAAUUUGUGCAGUCUUCAAAGACUUUUUCAAUAUAGUCGACUAGUAAACAGUGAUGCAAAGAGGCACGAAAUGCCGUUUCAAAAUACAGUUCAACACCUGAAUACAUCGUGGAUGCUGAGGAUGUUGUGUUGGCCAGCGGUUGCUCUGGAGCAAUCGAGAUAGCAUUAAACGCCCUAGUUUAUCAUGGUGAUAACAUCCUAAUUCCAAGACUUGGUUUCUCUCUUUACAAAUUGAUCUGUGGAUCGAGGAGGAUUGAAGCACGAUCUUAUAAGCUCUUUCCUCAAAUUAGUUGGGAAGCCGAUUUGGACGAUAUGGCUUCACUUAUUGACGAGAGAAGAAAGCUUAUGGCUCUGUGUACAAAAGAGAACAUUUGGAAGAAGUUUUAAACAUUGCUGAAAAAUACAGCGUCCCAGUUCUCUGUGAUGAAGUUUACGCGCAUGUCAAGUACUUCAAAUUAUUCAACAACAAAUGUUUAAUAAUGGGAUGCCUUUACUUGACAUGGCAGCGCUUGGGGGUAACAAGUUCAAAGUAGUAGGUCAACUGAUGGCUAGUUCAAUUGUGCAAGGUGGACCAGCACCGUGUUUCUUUUAAGACAAAGUUUAUGCGUAUAUGACUGAAGGUAUUUCAAGUAUGACAACUGAAGCAUGGAUUCCAGAAGUAAAGGAUAUUACGCUUGUUGAAGCUAUAGAGAAGAUUGCAAAUUGUUCAACCGACGAACACUUACAAAGAGUGUUGCAAGAAGACGCCAUGUUGCAUGUUUUGCAACAGAUUCACUACAUGGGAGUGCCAUCAAGAGAAUCAUUGCAAUCUGCUAAAAACAUCUUAAGGUACGCUAUGUUUAAAUCUUUAAAAACGAAAUGAUUUACAAGUUCUGCAUAGUGUAAGUCAUUAACCCUUUAAGGGCCAACUUCUUUUUGUUUGACUUUAACAUGGCUUAGUGAUUGUGAAAAAUACGAUCUCAGAGUUUUACUCUUAUAUGAUUUUUACUACC